GAGAGUUUGAUCCUGGCUCAGGAUGAACGCUAGCGACAGGCCUAACACAUGCAAGUCGAGGGGCAGCAUUUCUAGCUUGCUAGAAGAUGGCGACCGGCGCACGGGUGAGUAACGCGUAUGCAACCUACCUUAUACUGGGGGAUAGCCCAAAGAAAUUUGGAUUAAUACCGCAUAACAUAUUUGAAUCGCAUGGUUUAAAUAUUAAAACUCCGGUGGUAUAAGAUGGGCAUGCGUAGCAUUAGUUUGUUGGUGAGGUAACGGCUCACCAAGACUAUGAUGCUUAGGGGGUCUGAGAGGAUAGUCCCCCACACUGGUACUGAGACACGGACCAGACUCCUACGGGAGGCAGCAGUGAGGAAUAUUGGUCAAUGGACGCAAGUCUGAACCAGCCAUGUCGCGUGCAGGAUGACGGCCCUAUGGGUUGUAAACUGCUUUUUUUACAGGAAUAAUUGUCGCUACGUGUAGAGAUUUGAAUGUACUGUAUGAAUAAGGAUCGGCUAACUCCGUGCCAGCAGCCGCGGUAAUACGGAGGAUUCGAGCGUUAUCCGGAUUUAUUGGGUUUAAAGGGUCCGUAGGCGGUUCUUUAAGUCAGUGGUGAAAUCCCAGAGCUCAACUCUGGAACUGCCAUUGAAACUGAAGAACUUGAAUAUGGUUGAGGUAGGCGGAAUACGUUAUGUAGCGGUGAAAUGCAUAGAUAUAACGUAGAACACCAAUUGCGAAGGCAGCUUACUAAACCAUUAUUGACGCUGAUGGACGAAAGCGUGGGGAGCGAACAGGAUUAGAUACCCUGGUAGUCCACGCCGUAAACGAUGUUCACUCGCUGUAUGCAAUACACCGUAUGCGGCCAAGCGAAAGUAUUAAGUGAACCACCUGGGGAGUACGUCGGCAACGGUGAAACUCAAAGGAAUUGACGGGGGCCCGCACAAGCGGAGGAACAUGUGGUUUAAUUCGAUGAUACGCGAGGAACCUUACCUGGGCUUAAAUGUAGAUUGACGUACAAAGAGAUUUGAUUUUCUUGGGACGAAUUACAAGGUGCUGCAUGGUUGUCGUCAGCUCGUGCCGUGAGGUGUCGGGUUAAGUCCCAUAACGAGCGCAACCCCUAUCACUAGUUGCCAGCGAGUAAUGUCGGGAACUCUAGUGAAACUGCCGGUGUAAACCGUGAGGAAGGUGGGGAUGACGUCAAAUCAGCACGGCCCUUAUGUCCAGGGCUACACACGUGUUACAAUGGCCAGUACAAAGGGCAGCUACUUGGUGACAAGAUGCUAAUCUCUAAAGCUGGUCUCAGUUCGGAUAGAAGUCUGCAAUUCGACUUCUUGAAGUUGGAUUCGCUAGUAAUCGCAUAUCAGCUACGAUGCGGUGAAUACGUUCCCGGGCCUUGUACACACCGCCCGUCAAACAAUGGAAGCUGGGGGUACCUGAAGUCUGUAACCGCAAGGAGCGGCCUAGGGUAAAACUGGUAACUAGGGUUAAGUCGUAACAAGGUAGCCGUAG
RNAcentral lists this ribosomal RNA (1491 nucleotides) under uncultured prokaryote. Its description in RNAcentral is "partial 16S ribosomal RNA". It matches the Rfam family "Bacterial small subunit ribosomal RNA". The record is from RNAcentral.